RNAcentral lists this transfer RNA (67 nucleotides) under Rattus norvegicus (Norway rat). It matches the Rfam family "tRNA". Rfam says of the family: Transfer RNA (tRNA) molecules are approximately 80 nucleotides in length. Their secondary structure includes four short double-helical elements and three loops (D, anti-codon, and T loops). Lineage: Eukaryota; Metazoa; Chordata; Mammalia; Rodentia; Muridae. The record is from Rfam by way of RNAcentral.
GGGGAUUUAGCUCAGUGGUAGAGCGCUUGCCUAGGAAGCAAGCGCAAGGCCCUGGGUUCAGUCCCCA